This 236-nucleotide long non-coding RNA is filed under the name Sorghum bicolor (sorghum). RNAcentral's name for it is "long non-coding RNA (SBIC_LNC000563)". The record is from RNAcentral. Lineage: Eukaryota; Viridiplantae; Streptophyta; Magnoliopsida; Poales; Poaceae.
UCAAAUACAAACGAAAGUGCUACAGUGUCGAUUUUGCAAAAAAUUUUGAAACUAAACAAGGCCUUGAAUGGUCUGUUGCUAAACAUGCCCCUCGGUUCCUAUGUGCUAAAAUUUAAUAUUUCGAUGGAUAGUCCAUUGCUAUAAGUAUUUUACUUUUGCGUUGGAUCAUCUAUCGCUAUUUUGCACUAACUGAGUUGGAUCAUCCGUUGCUAAAUACUAGUGUCCACUUUUGGCGC